Molecule: ribosomal RNA, 497 nt
Filed under: uncultured bacterium
Lineage: Bacteria
Description: partial 16S ribosomal RNA
Rfam family: Bacterial small subunit ribosomal RNA
Source: RNAcentral
GAUGAACGCUGGCGGCGUGCCUAAUACAUGCAAGUCGAGCGAACAGACGAGGAGCUUGCUCCUCUGACGUUAGCGGCGGACGGGUGAGUAACACGUGGAUAACCUACCUAUAAGACUGGGAUAACUUCGGGAAACCGGAGCUAAUACCGGAUAAUAUAUUGAACCGCAUGGUUCAAUAGUGAAAGACGGUUUUGCUGUCACUUAUAGAUGGAUCCGCGCCGCAUUAGCUAGUUGGUAAGGUAACGGCUUACCAAGGCGACGAUGCGUAGCCGACCUGAGAGGGUGAUAGGCCACACUGGAACUGAGACACGGUCCAGACUCCUACGGGAGGCAGCAGUAGGGAAUCGUCCGCAAUGGGCGAAAGCCUGACGGAGCAACGCCGCGUGAGUGAUGAAGGUCUUCGGAUCGUAAAACUCUGUUACUAGGGAAGAACAAAUGUGUAAGUAACUAUGCACGUCUUGACGGUACCUAAUCAGAAAGCCACGGCUAACUACGUG